GUAUUACCAGAUGAGCAAAAAAACUUUCCAGCAUGGGCCCCUACCACCCCAAGGAUGCACAUCUACACUACAAAACCCUGUGGAUUGCAGCCCUGGAGGAUGGAGCAAGCAUAGUACUCCAAGGCACCAGAGAGGGGAAGUUUUAGCUCUGCAUAUGAAGUUAAGAAUGAACAUUUUGGCAGACACUGCGAUUUGAGUUCUGAGUGUAAAAUAACCAGAAAUUUAGGACUCAAUAAUUAACUGUCUGUUUUUACUUUCAGAACAUUUGGAGAAGAUCAAGUGGCUGACUGAAGAGAAGGUCAAGCUGAGGGCACAGCUGGCUCUACAACUUCUGAUAAACGUCUGACUGAAGAGAAUGUCAACUGAGGGCACAGCCGGCUCUACAAUCAGGAGCCAUAAGGAAGAUUCCUUCCAGCCAGAAUGCCACUGACGAUGCUGUCCAGAACCAGGUCCCCAGAUACCAUAAAGGGGCAGCUGACCGUGCAGGUGGGAGAAGGCGUCACGGCGGUACAAGGAACCUACGGUGAAUAUGAAUAACAUAUCCAGCACAACCAAUAUUGCUGCUAAGCUGCAGUUCAAAUGUUUUUUUUUAACUGCUCCUAUUUAUAGUGUUAUAUGAUCACAUUAUCCUCUUAAUAUAUUUAUAGCUCUGUUUGAAUGUUCUUAAUUCUGACUGUAGUUGUUAUGCCACUAUUCAUAAGCUUAUUGCACUGAUGUCUCUAUGAUUCAAUAACUAUCAAUUGCUGCUAGGUCACACUUUUGUAUAUUAUAUUAUUCUAG
This is a long non-coding RNA of Esox lucius (northern pike), 780 nucleotides long. Lineage: Eukaryota; Metazoa; Chordata; Actinopteri; Esociformes; Esocidae. The record is from Ensembl.